Molecule: ribosomal RNA, 1165 nt
Filed under: uncultured Flavobacteriaceae bacterium
Lineage: Bacteria; Pseudomonadati; Bacteroidota; Flavobacteriia; Flavobacteriales; Flavobacteriaceae
Description: bacterial SSU rRNA
Rfam family: Bacterial small subunit ribosomal RNA
Source: RNAcentral
AUUGGACAAUGGAGGCACUCUGAUCCAGCCAUGCCGCGUGAAGGAAGACGGCCUUAUGGGUUGUAAACUUCUUUUAUACAGGAAGAAACCUUUCCACGUGUGGAAAGUUGACGGUACUGUAAGAAUAAGGAUCGGCUAACUCCGUGCCAGCAGCCGCGGUAAUACGGAGGAUCCAAGCGUUAUCCGGAAUUAUUGGGUUUAAAGGGUCCGCAGGCUGUUUGUUAAGUCAGAGGUGAAAUCCUACCGCUCAACGGUAGAACUGCCUUUGAUACUGGCAAACUUGAGUUAUUGUGAAGUAGUUAGAAUGUGUAGUGUAGCGGUGAAAUGCAUAGAUAUUACACAGAAUACCGAUUGCGAAAGCAGAUUACUAACAAUAUACUGACGCUGAGGGACGAAAGCGUGGGUAGCGAACAGGAUUAGAUACCCUGGUAGUCCACGCCGUAAACGAUGGUCACUAGCUGUUCGAUGUACAUUGGUACGUUGAGUGGCUAAGCGAAAGUGAUAAGUGACCCACCUGGGGAGUACGCUCGCAAGAGUGAAACUCAAAGGAAUUGACGGGGGCCCGCACAAGCGGUGGAGCAUAUGGUUUAAUUCGAUGAUACGCGAGGAACCUUACCAGGACUUAAAUGUAAGUUGCAUGAUUCAGAAAUGAAUCUUUCUUCGGACUACUUACAAGGUGCUGCAUGGUUGUCGUCAGCUCGUGCCGUGAGGUGUCAGGUUAAGUCCUAUAACGAGCGCAACCCCUAUCGUUAGUUGCCAUCAAGUAAAGUUGGGAACUCUAGCGAAACUGCCGGUGCAAACCGAGAGGAAGGUGGGGAUGACGUCAAAUCAUCACGGCCCUUACGUUCUGGGCUACACACGUGCUACAAUGGUCGGUACAGAAAGCAGCCACUAUGCGAAUAGGAGCUAAUCUUUAAAACCGAUCUCAGUUCGGAUCGCAGUCUGCAACUCGACUGCGUGAAGCUGGAAUCGCUAGUAAUCGGAUAUCAGCCAUGAUCCGGUGAAUACGUUCCCGGGCCUUGUACACACCGCCCGUCAAGCCAUGGAAGCUGGGGGUACCUAAAGUCGGUGACCGAAAGGAGCUGCCUAGGGUAAAACUAGUGACUGGGGCUAAGUCGUAACAAGGUAGCCGUACCGGAAGGUGCGGCUGGAAUACCUCCUUUCU